Molecule: ribosomal RNA, 1000 nt
Filed under: Priestia aryabhattai
Lineage: Bacteria; Bacillati; Bacillota; Bacilli; Caryophanales; Bacillaceae
Description: bacterial SSU rRNA
Rfam family: Bacterial small subunit ribosomal RNA
Source: RNAcentral
GGCCAGGGGCGGGGUGGCCUUAUACUUGCAAGUCGAGCGAACUGAUUAGAAGCUUGCUUCUAUGACGUUAGCGGCGGACGGGUGAGUAACACGUGGGCAACCUGCCUGUAAGACUGGGAUAACUUCGGGAAACCGAAGCUAAUACCGGAUAGGAUCUUCUCCUUCAUGGGGGAUGAUUGAAAGAUGGUUUCGGCUAUCACUUACAGAUGGGCCCGCGGUGCAUUAGCUAGUUGGUGAGGUAACGGCUCACCAAGGCAACGAUGCAUAGCCGACCUGAGAGGGUGAUCGGCCACACUGGGACUGAGACACGGCCCAGACUCCUACGGGAGGCAGCAGUAGGGAAUCUUCCGCAAUGGACGAAAGUCUGACGGAGCAACGCCGCGUGAGUGAUGAAGGCUUUCGGGUCGUAAAACUCUGUUGUUAGGGAAGAACAAGUAUGAGAGUAACUGCUCGUACCUUGACGGUACCUAACCAGAAAGCCACGGCUAACUACGUGCCAGCAGCCGCGGUAAUACGUAGGUGGCAAGCGUUAUCCGGAAUUAUUGGGCGUAAAGCGCGCGCAGGCGGUUUCUUAAGUCUGAUGUGAAAGCCCACGGCUCAACCGUGGAGGGUCAUUGGAAACUGGGGAACUUGAGUGCAGAAGAGAAAAGCGGAAUUCCACGUGUAGCGGUGAAAUGCGUAGAGAUGUGGAGGAACACCAGUGGCGAAGGCGGCUUUUUGGUCUGUAACUGACGCUGAGGCGCGAAAGCGUGGGGGAGCAAACAGGAUUAGAUACCCUGGUAGUCCACGCCGUAACGAUGAGUGCUAAGUGUUAGAGGGGUUUCCGCCCUUUAGUGCUGCAGCUAACGCAUUAAGCACUCCGCCUGGGGGAGUACGGGUCGCAAGACUGAAACUCAAGGAAUUGACGGGGGCCCCGCACAAGCGGUGGAGCAUGUGGUUUAUUCGAAGCAACGCGAAGAACCUUUACCAGGUCUUGACAUCCUCUGACUACUUCUAGAGA